Molecule: long non-coding RNA, 1322 nt
Filed under: Lonchura striata (white-rumped munia)
Lineage: Eukaryota; Metazoa; Chordata; Aves; Passeriformes; Estrildidae
Description: domestica (Bengalese finch) lncRNA (ENSLSDG00000010309.1)
Source: RNAcentral
GACCCAGGGCAGAAGACAACCAAGUGGGCUCUGACUCAAGGUUUGAGGGGAAUCUUUCAGUUUUGCUUUCAUUAACCUAUGAAUCCUGCUUACAGCAACUGUGGCUGUCAGGCAUCCCCAAAUGACACUGUAUUGCUGCCUUGGAUACCUCAUGGAUGCUUUGGAGAAUCUCCCAGAGGAUCUGCAAGUGCAGAGUGCUCACUCUAGCCUUCCCAGUGAAGAAAGGGAGCAGGCAAUGACACACAGCAAUUCACAGAAGCAUCACAAGGAGAAGAAUUUCUCAGCUCAGAGGCUGCCCUAUGAAGCCUGCUCCUGGGGUUAACCCUGGGAUGUAUUCAAGAGGAACCAAGCAAUCUUUAUGGGGUUGUCCAGUUGCCUCCACUGAUCUGCUGGAUCACUGGGCACUGCUGGUAGAAGCAGUGACCUAGAGGUCUAGAAGAGGCCAUAAACUAACAAGACAGAGUUGUUAGAAAGUGGAGGGAAAAUCAGGACCGAGCAGACUUUGCAAAGAUGACUUUGACCUCUGUCUAUGACUGAGGAUAGAUUCAUGUCUACAAAAUUCAGCUAAAGCAAAAUAACCCCUAGAAAGAAGCAGUAUUGCCUAAUAGAAUUGGCAUUGAUCUCCCACAAGUGUGAGAAGGCUGCAAUGUGACAGGAUUUAUCCUGGUACAUUUUCUGCCCAAGAGAUACCUGGAUGUUUGCCUGUGGUUGGCUUUUAUUCAUUUCACUUGCUGUAAGUGUGCUCAGUGGGGAAAAAUCUGCUGUUUUGUAAAAGGUUUCCUGGCUCCCAAGCAGCCCAGUGACUGAGUAUACAAUGCAAUCAAUGUUACAAGCACUGCUUAUGCUACACUCUGGUGCACUGCCAGGAUCCCACACAGAUCAACCUGACCCAGCCGGAGAAAUCAUUGAGAAAUAAGAGAGAGGGAGAAGGAGCAAGAAGAAAUCCCCAAAUCCCCAGAAACACAAUGUUAAACCCUCCCACCUGAUCUGCAAAACAAAAGCCAGCCCAGACCAAAUAUAAACCAAGGCUGCACAGCCAAAACAACCAGACUGCAGAAGGUCAGAUAAUCUGAAAUGUGCGUAUCGCAGCAGGGCGGACGUGCCUGCAGCCAGCUUGUGGAGGGGAGGAGGAAUGAUGUCUCCCUGCACAGGCUUAUUUGGGAUCCUCUGAAACUCUGGUGCUCUUGGGAAUCACAGGAGUGACUAGCCAGGAGGGAGCCCAUAGUCUCCUCAGAUGUUGGCUGGCAGCUGCUGUUCCAGAUGCAUCACUAGUGCUGUUCCUCCCUGCCCACAUGGGGAUGACACUGCAGUUUGUAGGAUGA